RNAcentral lists this long non-coding RNA (817 nucleotides) under Salmo salar (Atlantic salmon). RNAcentral describes it as "lncRNA (ENSSSAG00000117782.1)". Lineage: Eukaryota; Metazoa; Chordata; Actinopteri; Salmoniformes; Salmonidae. The record is from RNAcentral.
CCUGUCUGACCAUUUCUUGCCCUCCUUGAUCAUCUCUAACAAAUACAGGGGAUCUCUGGCAUGACGUGACACUUCCUACGGCUCCCAUGGGCUCUCAGAAGGCGGGAAAAAGCUGAACGAUGUAAUUCCAUCCCCAGGCUGAAACACAUUAGCGCGUUUGGCAAGUGCUCUAUCAGAGGGCCAUUAGACUGAGGCUCGUGCAUGAGGGGAUAGCAUGCUUUUACUUUCACUCUCUUUGUAAUAAAAAAAACGAUUUCCCGGUCGGAAUAUUAUCGCUUUUUUACGAGAAAAAUGGCAUAAAAAUUGAUUUUAAACAGCGGUUGACAUGCUUCGAAGUACGGUAAGGGAAUAUUUAGAUUUUUUUUUGUCACAAAAUGCGCCGUGCUCGUAACCCUUCUUUCCCCUUUCGGAUAGUGUCUUGAACGCACGAACAAAACGCCGCUAUUUGGAUAUAACAAUGGAUUAUUUGGGACCAAACCAACAUUUGUUAUUAAAGUAGAAGUCCUGGGAGUGCAUUCUGACGAAGAACAGCAAAGUGGAUUUAGGAGAUGACAUCAAUAAGGGACCAUAGCUUUCAUCUGGAUUCACCUGGUCAGCCUAUGUCAUGGAAAGACCCCAGCCACCCCAGUCUCUACUACCGCAUGGCAUGCGGUACCGGAGUGCCAAGUCUGGGACAAAAAGGCUUCUCAACAGUUUUUACCCCCAAGCCAUAAGACUCCUGAACAGAGCAUAUAACCAUCCAUGGAGAUCAGCGGACAAAGGGCUGGACAACAGGCUGCAUGGUUGCCAAGAAAGUGGCCACUGCAAUCGAUGGGGG